RNAcentral lists this long non-coding RNA (11401 nucleotides) under Gossypium barbadense (sea-island cotton). Its description in RNAcentral is "long non-coding RNA (GBAR_LNC001473)". Lineage: Eukaryota; Viridiplantae; Streptophyta; Magnoliopsida; Malvales; Malvaceae. The record is from RNAcentral.
CCUUUCUUGGCUGAUCCCUUUUGCUUUAUGGCGUGCUCGUUUGGGCUGGGCGUCGGCUAAGAGUGCUCGGAGCGUGGAUUAACUCCAGUCUCCAAUCAGGUAAUUUCCAGCCUUAGAUGGAUCGGGGUUGCUAGGGGCUCGGAGGAAGCCACACACACUAUUUAUGUUACAGUUUUGAUUAUUACCUUUAAAUUAUUUUGUGGGUUGUAGUAAAGCCGUUGUAAUUUUCUGGAUUUCAAAUUUGGAAUAGUAACACCCCUAUCCCGUAACCGUCGCCGGAAUAGGUAAGGGGCAUUACCGGACUUGUAACUCAUGUCAAAACAGUAAAAUUUUGAAUUUUUUUUUCUUGAAAUAAAGAUCAUUCAUUUAAAUAAGUACUAAGCACAGCCAGGGAUAAAAUUUAAACUUCUCUAAGUAAACAUUCAAAAGAUGCCAUUUUCGCUUGGCUUAUAUACAUUAACCAAAAAUAUUCUCCCGCCACUAGUCUAUUCUAUACAUGCCAUAAGAUAAUCCAAAACGUAGCAGUACCAAACAGUGGAUAGUGAUAGUGUGACUAGUUGCUGAUGAUCCCCGAGCCUGUAGCUUCCAAAUGAGAUCUAUAAAACAGAGGAAACAGAGUAAACGGAGUAAGCAUUACAAUGCUUAGUAAGUUUUAAGCAGUGUCAACAGAUAACAAUCAAAUUAUAACAUAGUUGUUCGUAUUUUUAUUUCACUCUUCCUUCGGGCAUACCAUCCCUUUACCGAAUAUGCACAUCUCAUCAUAUACAAUAGGCAGAUAAACUUUCACAUAAAAGUGAGCUCAUGUGACAUAGAUAUAUCGUAUGAUUUCACAUAACCUCUCACACUGAUCCGAUGUCACAUAAUCAUAGGAAUAGUCUCAUAUAUUGCUCUCGUAUGCAUCACAUAACUACCUUAUGAUUUAGUGCAAAUCAAGCUCACAUAUAAACUUGGAGUACAUACCUGUUUAACCUUUCACAUUGAAUAUAUUUAUAAGCAAUUCUUAUUACGAAGUCUUACCCGGACAUAAUCUCCACACGAAGUUAUCGGAUCUUACCUGGACAAAAUCCCCACAUGUAGUCAUCGGGUCUUUAGAGCUCGGAUAUAGUACGAGCACGAAGCUUACGGACAUUAAUCAGUGAUAAUAUUCUCGCAUAAAGCCUGCGGGGUUUUAACCCGGAUAUAGUACUGACACAAAUGCCCUUCGGGACUUAUCACAUAUAUACACUUUCACAUUCAUCACAUCGGCCAUUAGGCCUUAUCACAUAUAUACACUUUCACAUUCAUCACAUCGGCCAAUAGGCCUUAUCACAUAUAUAUACACUUUCACAUUCAUCACAUCGGCCAUUAGGCCUUAUCACAUAUAUAUACACUUUCACAUUCAUCACAUCGGCCAUUAGGCCUUAUCACAUAUAUACACUUUCACAUUCAUCACAUCGGCCAUUAGGCCUUAUCACAUAUAUAUACACUUUGACAUUCAUCACAUCGGCCAUUAGGCCUUAUCACAUAUAUAUACACUUUCACAUUCAUCACAUCGGCCAUUAGGCCUUAUCACAUAUAUACACUUUCACAUUCAUCACAUCGGCCAUUAGGCCUUAUCACAUAUAUACACUUUCACAUUCAUCACAUCGGCCAUUAGGCCUUAUCUCAUAUUUUCAUGUUCACAUCCAUCACAUAGAAUCCUAAAUCAAAAUAUAGAUUUUCAUGUAUUCACAUCACAAUUAUCCAAAUAUACUUCACAUACCACAUAUACUUUCACGUAUACACACUGUCUUGGCUCAAUCUACAUCUAUCAUUUUCCAAUAUCACAAUUUAGAAUUCACGUAUGGGUUUAAUCAAUAGUUUAUGAGCAACUAAAACAAGUUUAUCAAGGUUUACAACACAAUCUCAAAUUCAGUACAAGCUGUUUUUCCUGAGCAAUAGUCACUAAAUUAUUUAUAAUUGGAGCUACAAAACUCCAAAUCACUUUCCGUUAAUUUUUCCUGAAUAUAGACUUGUAUAUCUUCCAUCCAUAAAAUUUCAAGAAUUUUAGGUUUGGCUAAUAAAUACCAGAUUUUUCUUAAAGUUUCCCCUGUUUCACUGUUUGACUAAUCUGACCACUCUUCACUACGAAUCAAAUUUCUCAUUUUACAGAAUUCAAAAUGUGUUGUAUUUGAUUUAAUUUGAAUCUAGACUCAUUAAGGAGACUAAGCAUAUAAUUUUUAUCUUAUAACCAUUUUUUUAGAAUUUAUAAUGAUUUUCUAAAAAUAGAACAGAGGAUUACAGUGUCAUUCUACGCUGUCUCACACAACUUUAAGUAUCUCAUUAUCCGAAAUUCCUUUGCUUACACGGUUUCUUUUAUAAGAAACUAGACUCAUUAAGCUUUAAUUUAAUGUCUCAUUCAGCCUCUAAUUCAAAUCCAUAAAUUUAUGGUGAUUUUCUAAAGUCACAUUACUGCUGCUGUCCUAAGCAGACUAUUUCAAUUUACCCUUAAAUUCCCAAGCUCAAACACUUAAGAACUUACCAUUUGAGCUUAGAACAUAUCAUGGCCACAUCAUAUCUUAUUAAAUCAACUCAUCAUGUCCUAUUAUAAUUGAAUUUACUCAACAUUUAAUCACUUAAAACUUACCUCGGAUGUUGUUGAACGAUUUCGGCGGCUAUUCGAUCACUUUUUCCUUUCCUUUAUCCAACUUUGGUCCUCUAAGCUCUUGAGCUAAUUCAAACAAAUUUAACUUAUUAAAGUCUCAUUAUGCUAGCUUAUGGCCGAAUAUGACAAGGAUUUUGAUUGGUCAUAUGGCCACCUUCUAGCUCAACUACACAAUGGUCAUAUGCAUUUUUAAUCACAUCAAGCAAUUUAAUUCAAUUCAUUCGAACAUCAAAAGAAAACCUCAAGGUACUUAGCCCAUAUAUACUUUAGGCAUUAGAGUCACAUAUAUAUAUGGAAUCAUGAAUCAAACUCAACAUUUUAGCUAAUAUUCCCCCUUGGCCAAAUUUUCUAAGCCAAGACAAAAGCAUCAAUAUGCUUGCCUCUAACCGAAUACAUGCAACACCAUCUUCUUCCUAUGGCCGAAUAUGCAUGUCUAUGUUGAGGCCGAUUAUAUACUUAAUACCACACAUAAAUGGCAUACAUUUUACUAACUAAUGCAUUACAUAUUAUAACUCAAUACGCAUCCAUCAUUUAAUCCAUAACCGAAUCACCAUCAUGUGUAAGUAUAUACCUUGAGAUAAUAUAUAGGUCAUACCAAUACGUAAUGUGCAAUCAUAUAUAUAUGUGCAAGAGCCUAAUCACAAAUUUGAUUAUAACCAAAUUUAUACAUAUAUCCAAAACAUAAAUCUUACCUACCAUGCAAUAAGCAUAAAUCACACUUAUGGAUAUACCAUGGCCGAUACUUCCAACAACACCAAAUAAAAAUAUACUUCAUGGAUCUAAGGUAGAACCAAGAAAGAAACUCAUAAUCAUCAAGAUGUAAGCAACUACCAUUGUUCAUCUAGAUUUAGCAUGAAACACAACCAUCACCCUUAUUAAUCUCCAUAGCCGAAAACCUUACUUAUUCCAAAAUCACAAUUUCAACAUGGGUUACCAACAAUAACUUGAUAUCUCACUCAAAAUCAACUAGGAUUUCAAGAACUGGUAUCAACUUCCUUACCUUAAUAUCGACCUAAGAUGACCGAUUGCUUCACUCUUUCCUUCCUCCUCUCAAUCCGGCCAAGAAGAACCAAAGAACACAACUUGUUUCCUUUCCUCCUUAGAACAUUCGGCCAAGAGAAAUGAAAAAAAGAUGGACACUUUUUUUUUGUUUUUUUUCUUACAUUCACGGCAAUGGGGAGGGGGGGAGAAACAAUCACACACAUUCUUUCUUUUUUUUUUUCCAUUUCUUUAUUACCCAUACUCCUUAUUUUAUUGUUCCUAACAUACAUCACUAACAUAACAUGUUUGUGACAUGUUUCCACUCAUAGCAUGGCCGGCCACUAUGCCUUAAUUUGGGUAAAUUGACAUGCAAACCCAUCAUUUUCACAAUAUGCAUUAAUAGGCCACUUUGCAUUUGCCUAGCACAUUUCUAAAUUUUCUCACAUAAGUCCUAUUUGAUAAAAUUCACUUACAAUUAACAAAAUUCAAACAUGAAAUUUUCACACAUGCACAUGUACAUAUAAUGAGCAUCAAUUAUGACGGUUAAUUAUUUUUAUGACUCGGUUUAGUGGUUUCGAAACCACUUCCCGACUAGGGUCAAAUUAGGGGUGUCACAACUCUUCCCCCCUUUAGAGAUUUUCGUCCCCGAAAAUUUCUACCGAUGCAUAGUUUAGGAUAACGUCCUCUUAUUGAAUUAUAUUCAUAUAAACAUUAGCUCAUCGAUGGCAAUUGUAAUUCAUUAUUGAUUUCGCAUCGAUCUAUAAAAUCAUUUUCUUAUCUUAAAACAAAUACAUAAACAUUUCUACAAGUAUGCACAUAUAUCUCAUUUUCUUGAUUUCAUAAGUAUUAAUCACUUAAUUUAAUUCACAGUUGCAUCUCAAACACAUAUUAAGCACAUAUUAAUAUGUAUAAUUCACAUCAUCAACCCACAUAUUUGUAACCCACAUUUUCAUUCAUGUAUAAGCUGUAACCUGACCGAAAGUACACAUAUACUCAAACAUCCCAAUAAAUAUCCUUUAUCACUCCAUCAUAUCUCACUAUUCAACUUAACCUAUUUCCAACAGAGAAUCAACUUCCACAUACCUGAACAUUGAGUUCAUUUAGCACAUUCAAUCACCGUUAACAAUACCCGUAUACAAUCGAUUUGGCAUCAAGCCUCAUAUUGUAUACCGGCAUGGGAUUUAUUUUAGCACAUAACCCAUAUAUCCAAAAUUAUCAGCAUUCAUCACAAAUUCUUACAGACUUUCAAAUGUCAAACUUAAUCGAAAUAAUUUCUUGAAUAUGAUUAACAAAAAAAUAGGGGUCAUUUAGCAAUAGCACAUAUGACUUCAUAUACGAAGCAUUCCAUAGACUAAAUUCAUAACACAUUUACAACAUGAAUUCAUUUCUUAACAACAUAUCCACCAUCUUUUUACUUUCAUCUGAUUUUCUCAUACCUUCCGUACAUACCUGUAUCACUUAUUCUGAUCUUACUUAAUUUAUCAUCUUAAAUAUACCUGUUGAAUCAUUCGAAAUCAUUACGGAUACUCAUUAAGCACAUAUAGCUCUUACAAUGCCAUAUCCUAGAUAUGGUCUUACAUAUUCUCACAUAUCGAGCCGAUGCCAUGUCCUAGACAUGGUCUUACACACUAUCUCAAAUCUAUGCCUUCGUCCCAAACGAGGUCUUACAUGAAUUCCACUUCACACACUUAGUGCCCACUGACCGAUCUCGCACUCAUAGUGCUCGGUUAAAGGAAUUCGCACACACACAGUGCCUCUAAUCAUUCACACACAUAGUGCUCUUAUUCAUUCGUUAAUACACAUUGAAAUGACUUAACCAAGUCUAUAAACAUCAUGUAUGUACACUUUUAAACAUAUCAUCUCAUUUAAAUUUGAAUUCGUAUAGUAAUGAGCACUUAAACUUUGCUCAAAUUACCGGCACGAAGCCUACUAGGCACGAAGGCCCGAAUACACGUCACCAGCAUGAUUGCUCUUCGAGACCUAGCCCGGAUAUAACACCAGCACGAAUGCUCUUCGGGGUUUAGCACGGAUAUAUCACUAGCACGAAUGCUCCUCGGGACUUAGCCCGGAUAUAUCACUAGCACGAAUGCUCUUCGGGACUUAGCCCGGAUAUAUCACUAGCACGAAUGCUCUUCGGGACUUAGCCCGGAUAUAUCCUAGCACGAAUGCUCUUCGGGACUUAGCCCGGAUAUAUCACUAGCAGGAAUGCUCUUCGGGACUUAGCCCGGAUAUAUCACUCUCAAUUCUCAUGUACAUAUACACAUAUAGCAAUACACAUUAGUAUAUCAUUUACAUUACUUGAAUACAAACACAACAUGCUUAUCGACCAUUCAACUUCCAGUUCCAUAGCCACAUACAAAAAUCACAUUUAUAGUCAUAACACUCUUUCAAAAUUGCAUCACUUAUACCCUUAUAAUUCAAUCCAAAUCAAAAUUCAAAUACGAGUACAUGAUACGUACCUGAUCAACUUAAUAAUUUAGGCAUAUCUAAGUGAAGUUAUAUCGCAAAUUCUCAUAGUCAGAAGCUUGCUACAGCUCGAUCGGGAUCAAGAUUCAUUACAAUACAGCAAACACAUUUUAAUAGCCAAAAAUCAUCACACUAUAAUUUUAUCACUUUAUGGCAUGUAUAAAUAGACUCACGCGUGCUACGUUAGUCCUAGAAUCGACUAAACCGUAGCUCUGAUACCAGUAAAAUGUAACACCCCUAUCCCGUAACCGUCACCGGAAUAGGUAAGGGGCAUUACCGGACUUGUAACUCACGUCAGAACAGUAAAAUUUUGAAUUUUUUUCUUGAAAUAAAGAUCAUUCAUUUAAAUAAGUACUAAGCACAGCCAGGGAUAAAAUUUAAACUUCUCUAAGUAAACAUUCAAAAGAUGCCAUUUUCGCAUGGCUUAUAUACAUUAACCAAAAAUAUUCUCCCGCCACUAGUCUAUUCUAUACAUGCCAUAAGAUAAUCCAAAACGUAGCAGUACCAAACAGUGGAUAGUGAUAGUGUGACUAGUUGCUGAUGAUCCCCGAGCCUGUAGCUUCCAAAUGAGAUCUAUAAAACAGAGGAAACAGAGUAAACGGAGUAAGCAUUACAAUGCUUAGUAAGUUUUAAGCAGUGUCAAUAGAUAACAAUCAAAUUAUAACAUAGUUGUUCGUAUUUUUAUUUCACUCUUCCUUCGGGCAUACCAUCCAUUUACCGAAUAUGCACAUCUCAUCAUAUACAAUAGGCAGAUAAACUUUCACAUAAAAGUGAGCUCAUGUGACAUAGAUAUAUCGUAUGAUUUCACAUAACCUCUCACACUGAUCCGAUGUCACAUAAUCAUAGGAAUAGUUUCAUAGACUGCUCUCGUAUGCAUGACAUAACUACCUUAUGAUUUAGUGCAAAUCAAGCUCACAUAUAAACUUGGAGUACAUACCUGUUUAACCUUUCGCAUUGAAUAUAUUUAUAAGCAAUUCUUCUUACGAAGUCUUACCCGGACAUAAUCUCCACACGAAGUUAUCGGAUCUUACCCGGAGAAAAUCCCCACACGUAGUCAUCGGGUCUUUAGAGCUCAGAUAUAGUACGAGCACGAAGCUUACGGACAUUAAUCAGUGAUAAUAUUCUCGCAUAAAGCCUGCGGGGUUUUAACCCGGAUAUAGUACUGACAUAAAUGCCCUUCGGGACUUAUCACAUUUAUACACUUUCACAUCCAUCACGUUGGCUAUUAGGCCUUAUCACAUAUAUACACUUUCACAUUCAUCACAUCGGCCAUUAGGCCUUAUCACAUAUAUACACUUUCACAUUCAUCACAUCGGCCAAUAGGCCUUAUCACAUAUAUAUACACUUUCACAUUCAUCACAUCGGCCAUUAGGCCUUAUCACAUAUAUAUACACUUUCACAUUCAUCACAUCGGCCAUUAGGCCUUAUCACAUAUAUACACUUUCACAUUCAUCACAUCGGCCAUUAGGCCUUAUCACAUAUAUAUACACUUUCACAUUCAUCACAUCGGCCAUUAGGCCUUAUCACAUAUAUAUACACUUUCACAUUCAUCACAUCGGCCAUUAGGCCUUAUCACAUAUAUACACUUUCACAUUCAUCACAUCGGCCAUUAGGCCUUAUCUCAUAUAUUCAUGUUCACAUCCAUCACAUAGAAUCCUAAAUCAAAAUAUAGAUUUUCAUGUAUUCACAUCACAAUUAUCCAAAUAUACUUCACAUACCACAUAUACUUUCACGUAUACACACUGUCUUGGCUGAAUCUACAUCUAUCAUUUUCCAAUAUCACAAUUUAGAAUUCAUGUAUGGGUUUAAUCAAUAGUUUAUGAGCAACUAAAACAAGUUUAUCAAGGUUUACAACACAAUCUCAAAUUCAGCACAAGCUGUUUUUCCUGAGCAAUAGUCACUAAAUUAUUUAUAACUGGAGCUACAAAACUCCAAAUCACUUUCCAUUAAUUUUUCCUGAAUAUAAACUCGUAUAUCUUCCAUCCAUAAAAUUUCCAGAAUUUUAGGUUUGGCCAAUCAAUACCAGAUUUUUCUUAAAGUUUCCCCUGUUUCACUGUUUGACUAAUCUGACUACUCUUCACUACGAAUCAAAUUUCUCAUUUUAAAGAAUUCAAAAUGUGUUGUAUUUGUUUUCAUUUGAAACUAGACUCAUUAAGGAGUCUAAUCAUAUAAAUUUUAUCUUAUAACCAUUUUUGUACAAUUUAUAAUGAUUUUCUAAAAACAGAACAGAGGAUUACAGUGUCAUUCUGCGCUGUCUCACACAACUUUAAGUAUCUCAUUAUCAGAAAUUCCUUUGCUUACACGGUUUCUUUUAUAAGGAACUAGACUCAUUAAGCUUUAAUUUCAUGUCUCAUUCAGCCUCUAAUUCAAAUCCAUAAAUUUAAUCACAUCAAGCAAUUUAAUACAAUUCAUUCGAACAUCAAAAGAAAACCUCAAGGUACUUAGCCCAUAUAUACUUUAGGCAUUAGAGUCACAUAUAUAUAUGGAAUCAUGAAUCAAACUCAACAUUUUAGCUAAUAUUCCCCCUUGGCCAAAUUUUCUAAGCCAAGACAAAAGCAUCAAUAUGCUUGCCUCUAACCGAAUACAUGCAACACCAUCUUCUUCCUAUGGCCGAAUAUGCAUGUCUAUGUUGAGGCCGAUUAUAUACUUAAUACCACACAUAAAUGGCAUACAUUUUACUAACUAAUGCAUUACAUAUUAUAACUCAAUACGCAUCCAUCAUUUAAUCCAUAACCGAAGCACCAUCAUGUGUAAGUAUAUACCUUGAGAUAAUAUAUAGGUCAUACCAAUACGUCAUGUGCAAUCAUAUAUAUAUGUGCAAGAGCCGAAUCACAAAUUUGAUUAUAACCAAAUUUAUACAUAUAUCCAAAACAUAAAUCUUACCUACCAUGCAAUAAGCAUAAAUCACACUUAUGGAUAUACCAUGGCCGAUACUUCCAACAACACCAAAUAAAAAUAUACUUCAUGGAUCUAAGGUAGAACCAAGAAAGAAACUCAUAAUCAUCAAGUUGUAAGCAACUACCAUUGUUCAUCUAGAUUUAGCAUGAAACACAACCAUCACCCUUAUUAAUCUCCAUAGCCGAAAACCUUACUUAUUCCAAAAUCACAAUUUCAACAUGGGUUACCAACAAUAACUUGAUAUCUCACUCAAAAUCAACUAGGAUUUCAAGAACUAGUAUCAACUUCCUUACCUUAAUAUCGACCUAAGAUGACCGAUUGCUUCACUCUUUCCUUCCUCCUCUCAAUCCGGCCAAGAAGAACCAAAGAACACAACUUGUUUCCUUUCCUCCUUAGAACAUUCGGCCAAGAGAAAUGAAAAAAAGAUGGACACUUUUUUUUUGUUUUCUUUCUUACAUUCACGGCAAUGGGGAGGGGGGGAGAAACAAUCACACACAUUCUUUCUUUUUUUUUUUCCAUUUCUUUAUUACCCAUACUCCUUAUUUUAUUUUUCCUAACAUACAUCACUAACAUAACAUGUUUGUGACAUGUUUCCACUCAUAGCAUGGCCGGCCACUAUGCCUUAAUUUGGGUAAAUUGACAUGCAAACCCAUCAUUUUCACAAUAUGCAUUAAUAGGCCACUUUGCAUUUGCCUAGCACAUUUCUAAAUUUUCUCACAUAAGUCCUAUUUGAUAAAAUUCACUUACAAUUAACAAAAUUCAAACAUGAAAUUUUCACACAUGCACAUGUACAUAUAAUGAGCAUCAAUUAUGACGGUUAAUUAUUUUUAUGACUCGGUUUAGUGGUCCCGAAACCACUUCCCGACUAGGGUCAAAUUAGGGGUGUCAUAGGAAUUUUAUUUAUUGUUCUUAUAAUUGCUAGUAUUAGAACACGAUUUUCCAAAGCAACUACUGUUAUUCAAAACAUCACGUAACGGCAAUUGUUUUUAAAGUAAGUUUCCGCAACUACCAAGAUUUUUACAAAGUUGUUAAGAAUGUUAUUCAGCUGAGGUUUUCUAACAAGGUUUAAAAAGGGUAUAAGUUUUUAAUUAUUAAGAAGGGUUUUUAAUGGAAACAUGGUUUUCGAAAAACACUUCAAUGUGACACGCCAAGUUCGAGCCAAACUUCCAGGCCAGGUUUGGGGUGUUACAUUUAGUGGUAUCAGAGCCUGGGUUGCAACAACUCAGUUGUGGAUUGGGUUUUCAAAGGUUGAAUUUUAGAAAAUUAUUUUCAACCACGUGGUCUGUUUGAAGUAUUUCUCUUAAAAAGUAUGGCACACCGAGUCUCCGGCGCCAAAUCCGUAAGUCUUCUGAAUACUUUUGUCUAUUUAGAAAUUGAAAUACUAUGGAUUCCUUAGAUAUUGGUCUGAAUUUAAAUUUGGUAUUUAUUUUAUGUGGAUGUGAUGUUUGGAUAUAGAAAUUGUAUAUAUGUGUGAUAAAUAUGUGUCUGCUUCAGUGAAUAAGUGUUGUAUGUAUGAGAUGUUUCAAGUUCUAGUUGAAGUGUGAUAGUGAUAGUAGGAUCAGAGUGCGCAGCGGUAGCGUAGUGGGGUAGAUGUUACACGACUACCCUGUUAGAUGAAAAUUUCGAGGACAAAAUUUCUUUAAGGGAGGUAGAGUUGUAACACCCUAAAUUUGGGCCUAGAAGUUUUGGGCCUUGAGCAUGGGAGCGGUUGAAGGCAGCUUAUAAUAUUCUAUUGUGCAUGCAAAUUUCGUUAAUGAAGGCUUGUUUUAGUGGUUAAGUGUGUUGAGAAGUGUUGGAGAAGUCCUGGGUUUAAACCUGGACUCUAGCAAAAAAUUUGGUUUAAGGUGAAUCAAACCCUGGGUGUAGUAGGUACGCCUUAAGAAUAUUGUUGGAGAAAUUGUGACACAAAAAACCUUAUGGCUUAGUGGCAAGUGGCGUGUGGAGCAUUUGAGGGGAGGCAUGGGUUCGAAUCCCAUGGCAAACAAAAAGCAUUUAUUUUGCUAACAGGGGCGGCAAGAGUUGGUGUUGAAUUUAAACUCUGAUGUUGGAGGGAUCCCACAUCGGGAAGCUAACAUAAGAGUGGAUGGGAAGCUAGCUUUAAAUAGAGAGAACCAUGAGGAGAGUAAAGGUACCUUUCUUGGCUGAUCCCUUUUGUUUUAUGGCGUGCUCGUUUGGGCUGGGCGUCGGCUAAGAGUGCUCGGAGCGUGGAUUAACUCCAGUCUCCAAUUAGGUAAUUUCCAGCCUUAGAUGGAUCGGGGUUGCUAGGGGCUCGGAGGAAGCCACACACACUAUUUAUGUUACAGUUUUGAUUAUUACCUUUAAAUUAUUUUAUGUGGGUUGUAGUAAAGCCGUUGUAAUUUUCUGGAUUUCAAAUUUGGAAUUUUAUUUAUUGUUCUUAUAAUUGCUAGUAUUAGAACACGAUUUUCCAAAGCA